This 363-nucleotide unclassified non-coding RNA is filed under the name uncultured Leotiomycetes. RNAcentral's name for it is "sequence contains ITS2". The stretch from base 1 to 154 matches the Rfam family "5.8S ribosomal RNA". The record is from RNAcentral. Lineage: Eukaryota; Fungi; Ascomycota; Leotiomycetes. RNAcentral also lists the same sequence under 1 other name.
AACUUCCGGCAACGGAUCACUUGGUUCUGGCAUCGAUGACGAACGCAGCGAAAUGCGAUAAGUAAUGUGACUUGCAGAAUUCAGUGAAUCAUCGAAUCUUUGAACGCACAUUGCGCCCUCUGGUAUUCCAGGGGGCAUGCCUGUUCGAGCGUCAUUACAACCCUCACGCUCCGCGUGGUGUUGGGCUCGCCCUGUAGGGCCUGCCUCAAAGUCAGUGGCGGCGCCAUCUGACCCCUAAGCGUAGUAAUACAUCUCGUUUCUGGGUGUUAGAUGGAGGCCUGCCAUGAACCCCCACCUUACAGUGUUGACCUCGGAUCAGGUAGGGAUACCCGCUGAACUUAAGCAUAUCAAUAAGCGGAGGCU